AUUGCUCUGUGGCUGAGCUGACCCAGCCCCAGGCCUGCUGGGUAGCGUGUGCAAGAUCCCUCAGCCCUUGAGUGAGCUCAGCUGCAUGCCCAGCUCCAGGAGAGAAACCUCACUGCAAUUGAUUUAAACACAAGAACUGCUAACUGGCUGUUCCUCUGCAGGAGACAUCAGGGUGGCCGGUGACCUGAAGGUAGAGCCGU
RNAcentral lists this long non-coding RNA (200 nucleotides) under Ictidomys tridecemlineatus (thirteen-lined ground squirrel). Its description in RNAcentral is "lncRNA (ENSSTOG00000031373.1)". Lineage: Eukaryota; Metazoa; Chordata; Mammalia; Rodentia; Sciuridae. The record is from RNAcentral.